Long non-coding RNA from Manis pentadactyla (Chinese pangolin), 995 nucleotides. RefSeq lists it as uncharacterized. NCBI's taxonomy places the organism in Eukaryota, Metazoa, Chordata, Mammalia, Pholidota, Manidae. The record is from RefSeq and is a predicted model, not a curated record. The transcript is spliced from 3 exons.
GGUCACACAGCAAGCAAGGCAAUCAUGGCACAAGGGAGUCCCUUGUGAUGCUCUGGGUCACAGAGCACUACCCGUCUCCUACAUCUGGCCAAACAAUUUUACCCUUAGAACAGCAAAGCUCUACAUGCCAUUUGGGUUCUAGAACUCAUUUCUUUGAUAGGAGUUAUUUCCAAAUUAUAACUGAAGGUUUGAGUAUAAAAUAGAUUACACUCUGCAUUUGGAUUCCUCAAAUCCUGACUUCUGUAUUCACAACCCACCAGGGCCCCACCCAGUCCUCAUGUGGUUGCAGGGACUCAGCAUCAGGACAACCCACCUUGUGGCAUCAUGUGAGUACAAGGUGGUCCAUGGCCUCACUGUCUCUGGAGACCUGGGCCACUGCUGAGCUACCCACGGAACUGAAUUCACGGAAUGGUAGACUCUGUGGAAUUACAGCAGCGAGUUGCAAAUGGUGCACAAAAUACAAGUCCCGCACCAGUGCACCAGGAGCCGUUUGAUGUGAGUUGCAGGGCCUUGCCUGGGGAUAUGGCUUUUGCUGGUCCAGUGAUACUGCCUGGGGAGGCCGGUGUGCAGUCACUCACUCACUCCAGCCCCCUGACAGCAAACAUGAGUGGGUGAGCUAAACUGCAGUGGGCAUUUCUGAAUUGCCUUCACCACCAUCCAGGGCCCCAGAAUGGAGAGAGAUGCUGACAUAGGGUGGGGACAUGGGACAAGGGUCAUGCCAUCAUAAAAUCUACUUAGCCUGUGAAAAAGCUCCAGCUUAUUCUGUAACUUGUUCUAUAUGCUGUUCUUCCUCUUCUUCUAGCCCCUUAAUCAAUUAGGUAACUUUGUAACCAGGACGAGAGACAGACCUCUGGAGCAUAAACGAACCUAUGUGGGUAAAGAAUGCCAAGAUCUGGAUCAACAUACUCACCUAAAAACCCUAUUCUUAAUAUGAAAACUCAAAGGAAUUAUUAUCACCUAUAUACACCAUGCCUUAUGCUGACCCUUACCCAAAA